RNAcentral lists this ribosomal RNA (460 nucleotides) under uncultured bacterium. Its description in RNAcentral is "partial 16S ribosomal RNA". It matches the Rfam family "Bacterial small subunit ribosomal RNA", at positions 338 to 795 of the family's 1533-position model. The record is from RNAcentral.
CCUACGGGCGGCAGCAGUGAGGAAUAUUGGUCAAUGGACGGAAGUCUGAACCAGCCAUGCCGCGUGCAGGAAGACGGCUCUAUGAGUUGUAAACUGCUUUUGUACAAGGGUAAACCUGAAUACGUGUAUUCAGCUGAAAGUACUGUACGAAUAAGGAUCGGCUAACUCCGUGCCAGCAGCCGCGGUAAUACGGAGGAUCCAAGCGUUAUCCGGAUUUAUUGGGUUUAAAGGGUGCGUAGGCGGAUUGAUAAGUUAGAGGUGAAAUGUCCGAGCUUAACUCGGGAACUGCCUCUAAUACUGGUGGUCUAGAGAGUAGAUGCGGUAGGCGGAAUGUAUGGUGUAGCGGUGAAAUGCUUAGAGAUCAUACAGAACACCGAUUGCGAAGGCAGCUUACCAAUCUAUAUCUGACGUUGAGGCACGAAAGCGUGGGGAGCAAACAGGAUUAGAUACCCCUGUAGUC